Parus major (Great Tit) is the source of this 1222-nucleotide long non-coding RNA. RefSeq lists it as uncharacterized. NCBI's taxonomy places the organism in Eukaryota, Metazoa, Chordata, Aves, Passeriformes, Paridae. The transcript is spliced from 2 exons. The record is from RefSeq and is a predicted model, not a curated record.
AGCAGUCUUUGCUACUUAAGUAUUCAAAAUGUAACACUUCGCUUUGCCUUAUUUUAGAGUUGUCCAAGUCCACAGUCACUUAUGUUCUCAUUAGCAAAUUAUCUAAAAUUUUAAGUAUGUUGGAAAUGCCUCAGUUUUAUCAAUAUUCCAUUCUAAGGAGCCAGAUGAUGCUCAUGCAGGCUUUGCAGGUGAGGUUCUUUCUAUCUCUCUUUCUCAACUCAGAAGCAGUUUAGACCACAUCUAUUAGAAAAGGGACAGCACAAAAUAUAGAGGCUGCUGGUAAUUGCAGUAACUCAGACCUAUGACCUAAUAAGUAUUCACAGAAUACAUAUACAGACCAGAAUAUGAGGCCCACAAUACAUUUUCUAAGAGAGUACCUGAUAGUAGGCUGGAGGGGAAUUCUCUCAACUUCCACUUUCCAGGGAAUAGUUAAGUAUUUAUUAGGUCAGAGGAAGGAAAGAAGAGUAAUAUGAGAACACUAAGGGGCUAAGCCAUAGGCUUCUUGUGGAAGAGAGUACUUCUUUUCAAAUAUUUAAAUUUUGAAUUGGAAGAAAGUGCAGAAAGUGAUAUUUUUCUCUUUUCCCAGACGAGAAUCAUAAGAAAACAGUAAACUACAGUGACAUGUUCAUUCAUGUCUUUUUUUCUAGGGCAUGGUGAAUAUUUAAUACAUCUGCAAGGAUGGAUAUAAUUUCCACAACAGUGACUGAAAAGAAUCUUUUCCAUCUGAGUACCAUUGACAAAGUAAUUUGGAUGACAAAACAAGGGGGUCUCAGUGCCCUGACCUGGAGGACCAUGACUGCAAGAGUGAUCAACUCCCUGUUGACCCUGAGGCUGCUGCUCCCUACAGCUGCUGCUGAUCCAGCUAGAUCCCUACAUGUUGUGAGGUGCCUCAGGGAGGCAAAGAUUUAGUUUCAGAUAAGCAUUGUUAAAGUGAGACCCAUGGCUGUAAGCCCGGCUAGUGUGAAUUUUGACCUCCUGCUUUGGGGAUAGGCCAUGUGAGGCCUGGAUGAAGUUGUCCCACCCCAGAUCUCGUGGGGGGUGACCCAGGAGUUCUGAUUGGGUUUGAGCCCCUGGGGUUUCUCCCUUGUUGUGUUUCCAGUGGUCCCUGACCCUGAACCCCACCUUAGUUCUGUCCCUCAAAACCCCUCACCCUGCCUUUGGCUCUCUGAGUCUCUGGAUCUGAGUUUGUUCCCAUGCUGAAUAAAUGGUUUCAUGAACAGAA